UGGCCCUUGGUGUAAUGGCAACACUACAGGUUUUGAUCCUGUCAUUGGAGGUUCGAGUCCUCCAGGGCCAGCCA
This 74-nucleotide transfer RNA is filed under the name Gammaproteobacteria bacterium. Its description in RNAcentral is "tRNA-Gln". It matches the Rfam family "tRNA". Rfam says of the family: Transfer RNA (tRNA) molecules are approximately 80 nucleotides in length. Their secondary structure includes four short double-helical elements and three loops (D, anti-codon, and T loops). Further hydrogen bonds mediate the characteristic L-shaped molecular structure. tRNAs have two regions of fundamental functional importance: the anti-codon, which is responsible for specific mRNA codon recognition, and the 3' end, to which the tRNAs corresponding amino acid is attached (by aminoacyl-tRNA synthetases). tRNAs cope with the degeneracy of the genetic code in two manners: having more than one tRNA (with a specific anti-codon) for a particular amino acid; and 'wobble' base-pairing, i.e. permitting non-standard base-pairing at the 3rd anti-codon position. The record is from RNAcentral. Lineage: Bacteria; Pseudomonadati; Pseudomonadota; Gammaproteobacteria.